CCUACGGGGGGCAGCAGUGAGGAAUAUUGGUCAAUGGACGAGAGUCUGAACCAGCCAAGUAGCGUGAAGGAUGACUGCCCUAUGGGUUGUAAACUUCUUUUAUAUGGGAAUAAAAUGUUCCACGUGUGGGAUUUUGUAUGUACCAUAUGAAUAAGGAUCGGCUAACUCCGUGCCAGCAGCCGCGGUAAUACGGAGGAUCCGAGCGUUAUCCGGAUUUAUUGGGUUUAAAGGGAGCGUAGGUGGAUUGGUAAGUCAGUUGUGAAAGUUUGCGGCUCAACCGUAAAAUUGCAGUUGAAACUGGCAGUCUUGAGUACAGUAGAGGUGGGCGGAAUUCGUGGUGUAGCGGUGAAAUGCUUAGAUAUCACGAAGAACUCCGAUUGCGAAGGCAGUUCACUGGACUGCAACUGACACUGAGGCUCGAAAGUGUGGGUAUCAAACAGGAUUAGAUACCCUUGUAGUC
Molecule: ribosomal RNA, 460 nt
Filed under: uncultured bacterium
Lineage: Bacteria
Description: partial 16S ribosomal RNA
Rfam family: Bacterial small subunit ribosomal RNA
Source: RNAcentral